Molecule: long non-coding RNA, 313 nt
Organism: Schistocerca americana (American grasshopper)
Lineage: Eukaryota; Metazoa; Arthropoda; Insecta; Orthoptera; Acrididae
Exons: 3
Source: RefSeq, a predicted model, not a curated record
CUUUUCACCAUCGAAAUGUUUGUCAGAAUAUUGGUAGUGUCAGUGAGCAUGAUGAACACCCCCAAGGCGAGGGCGAAACAUGGAAGUGGGUACAUGAUAUUCUGGCUGCUGCAGAGGAAGCUGAAAGGGAGCAUCAUCUUGCCUAUUCGAGAGAGGAUGAUGAGAUUCUGGGUUGGGUGCGAAAGCUACUGAAAAAGCCAACUGAACUGCUCAGUCCUCGGACCUAGAGUGGAAAAGAGACAUCACAGUCGCCACCAGCAUCACAACAGCUGGCUGUGGCUCGAGUGCCUAUAGUGUUGGUGGUGGUGGGGGG